GAUGUCAGGGUGAUCUGGCCGUGACAUGUUACCCCAUUGAUCUCCAGGCUUGAUUUGGCUGAUCUGGCGACCUAGGUGACAACCUCCUCCUCCCUCUCCUCUC
RNAcentral lists this small RNA (103 nucleotides) under Sorex araneus (European shrew). Its description in RNAcentral is "7SK RNA (ENSSARG00000019812.1)". It matches the Rfam family "7SK RNA", at positions 2 to 107 of the family's 331-position model. Rfam says of the family: 7SK was discovered as an abundant small nuclear RNA in the mid-70s but a possible function has only recently been suggested. Two independent studies have found that 7SK RNA binds the CDK9/cyclin T complex (known as elongation factor P-TEFb). P-TEFb activates transcription by phosphorylating the C-terminal domain of RNA polymerase II. Lineage: Eukaryota; Metazoa; Chordata; Mammalia; Eulipotyphla; Soricidae. The record is from RNAcentral.